GUAGCGAAAUCAUUUGUUUUUUAAUUGGAAACGGGUAUGAAUGGUUAAAUGUCUAAAUCUAUGUUUUUAUCUUAUGAUGAAAUUACAUUUUUUGUAAAAAUGCAUAAAUGAUUUAAAGGGACGACAAGACCCUAAAAUCUUUAUUAUUUGAUAAUUAACUUUAUUUGUGUUUAUAAAUUUAAUUAUUUAGUAAUUUGGCUGGGGCAGUGGUUUUUGCAAAUAAAUAUGCUAUUAAACUUUUAGGAUAUAAGAUCUUUUAUAUAAGGAUAAUUAAAAUUAGUUACUUUAGGGGUAACAGCGUAAUCUUCUUGGAGAGGUCUUAUCUAUAGGAAGGAUUGCGACCUCGAUGUUGAAUUAAAAUUUCUAAACGAAGCAGCAGGUGUUUUAGAGGGUUUGUUCAACCUUUAAUUUUUU
This 414-nucleotide ribosomal RNA is filed under the name Pontogeneia sp. KT-2017. RNAcentral's name for it is "partial 16S ribosomal RNA". Lineage: Eukaryota; Metazoa; Arthropoda; Malacostraca; Amphipoda; Pontogeneiidae. The record is from RNAcentral.